GAACGCACCUUGCGCUCCUUGGUAUUCCGAGGAGCAUGCCUGUUUGAGUGUCAUAUAAUUCUCAACCUUUAUUAGCUUUUGCUGAUUAAUGGCUUGGAUGUGGGGGUUCUCUUUUGCCGGCUUCUUCAGAGGUCAGCUCCCCUUAAAUGCAUUAGCUGGUGCCCCGCGUGGACUGUCUAUUUGGUGUGAUAAUUAUCUACGCCGUGGAUAUCUGCAAUGGGUUGUGCACUGCUUAUAACCGUCUGUUCAUUUGGACAAUACAUGACAAUUUGACCUCAAAUCGGGUGGGACUACCCGCUGAACUUAAG
This 308-nucleotide unclassified non-coding RNA is filed under the name uncultured Agaricales. Its description in RNAcentral is "sequence contains 5.8S rRNA gene". The stretch from base 1 to 53 matches the Rfam family "5.8S ribosomal RNA", at positions 102 to 154 of the family's 154-position model. Lineage: Eukaryota; Fungi; Basidiomycota; Agaricomycetes; Agaricales. The record is from RNAcentral.